RNAcentral lists this ribosomal RNA (459 nucleotides) under uncultured bacterium. RNAcentral describes it as "partial 16S ribosomal RNA". It matches the Rfam family "Bacterial small subunit ribosomal RNA", at positions 338 to 795 of the family's 1533-position model. The record is from RNAcentral.
GCUACGGGAGGCAGCAGUGAGGAAUAUUGGUCAAUGGGCGCGAGCCUGAACCAGCCAAGUCGCGUGAGGGAAGACGGUCCUAUGGAUUGUAACCCUCUUUUGUCGGGGAGCAAAAGACGCCACGCGUGGCGUUCCGAGAGUACCCGAAGAAAAAGCAUCGGCUAACUCGGGUCCAGCAGCCGCGGUAAUACGGAGGAUGCGAGCGUUAUCCGGAUUUAUUGGGUUUAAAGGGUGCGUAGGCGGAAGAUCAAGUCAGAGGUAAAAUUGAACGGCUAAACCUCGUCGAGCCGUUGAAACUGGUUGUGUUGAGUGAGUGAGAGGGAGGCGGAAGUCGUGGUGUAGCGGGGAAAUGCAUAGAGAUCACGCAGAACUCCGAUUGCGAAGGAAGCAUAACGGCGCUCAACUGACGCUCAUGCACGAAAGUGUGGGUAUCAAACAGGAUUAGAUACCCCAGUAGUC